This 85-nucleotide transfer RNA is filed under the name Felis catus (domestic cat). It matches the Rfam family "tRNA". From Rfam's summary of the family: Transfer RNA (tRNA) molecules are approximately 80 nucleotides in length. Their secondary structure includes four short double-helical elements and three loops (D, anti-codon, and T loops). Lineage: Eukaryota; Metazoa; Chordata; Mammalia; Carnivora; Felidae. The record is from Rfam by way of RNAcentral.
GCCUGGGUGGCUCAGUCGGUUGAGCAUCCGACUUCAGCUCAGGUCAUGAUCUCACAGUUUGUGGGUUCGAGCCCUGCGUUAGGCU